GACGAACGCUGGCGGCGUGCUUAACACAUGCAAGUCGAACGGAAAGGCCCCUUUGGGGGUACUCGAGUGGCGAACGGGUGAGUAACACGUGAGUAACCUGUCCUUGACUUCGGGAUAACUUCAGGAAACUGGGGCUAAUACCGGAUAGGAAUCCUUGCUGCAUGGUGGGGGUUGGAAAGCUUCGGCGGUUUUGGAUGGACUCGCGGCUUAUCAGCUUGUUGGUGGGGUAGUGGCUUACCAAGGCUUUGACGGGUAGCCGGCCUGAGAGGGCGACCGGCCACAUUGGGACUGAGAUACGGCCCAGACUCCUACGGGAGGCAGCAGUGGGGAAUAUUGCACAAGGGGCGGAAGCCUGAUGCAGCAACGCCGCGUGCGGGAUGACGGCCUUCGGGUUGUAAACCGCUUUCAGCAGGGGCGAAGCUUGUGGUGACGGUACCUGCAGAAGAAGCACCGGCUAACUACGUG
RNAcentral lists this ribosomal RNA (465 nucleotides) under uncultured bacterium. RNAcentral's name for it is "partial 16S ribosomal RNA". It matches the Rfam family "Bacterial small subunit ribosomal RNA", at positions 28 to 507 of the family's 1533-position model. The record is from RNAcentral.